GGAGAUGUUGCUCAGUGGUAGAGUGCUUGCCUAGCAUGUAUGAUGCACUGGGUUUGAUUCUCAGCACAACCU
Molecule: non-coding RNA, 72 nt
Organism: Ictidomys tridecemlineatus (thirteen-lined ground squirrel)
Lineage: Eukaryota; Metazoa; Chordata; Mammalia; Rodentia; Sciuridae
Source: Rfam